This 460-nucleotide ribosomal RNA is filed under the name uncultured bacterium. RNAcentral's name for it is "partial 16S ribosomal RNA". It matches the Rfam family "Bacterial small subunit ribosomal RNA", at positions 338 to 795 of the family's 1533-position model. The record is from RNAcentral.
CCUACGGGAGGCAGCAGUGAGGAAUAUUGGUCAAUGGGCGUAAGCCUGAACCAGCCAAGUCGCGUGAGGGAUGAAGGUUCUAUGGAUCGUAAACCUCUUUUAUAAGGGAAUAAAGUGUGGGACGUGUCCUGUUUUGUAUGUACCUUAUGAAUAAGGAUCGGCUAACUCCGUGCCAGCAGCCGCGGUAAUACGGAGGAUCCGAGCGUUAUCCGGAUUUAUUGGGUUUAAAGGGUGCGUAGGUGGCCUUUUAAGUCAGCUGUGAAAGUCUGUGGCUCAACCAUAGAAUUGCCGUUGAAACUGGGAGGCUUGAGUAUGUUAGAGGCAGGCGGAAUGCGUGGUGUAGCGGUGAAAUGCUUAGAUAUCACGCAGAACCCCGAUUGCGAAGGCAGCCUGCCAGGCCAUGACUGACGCUGAUGCACGAAAGCGUGGGGAUCAAACAGGAUUAGAUACCCCUGUAGUC